Long non-coding RNA from Capsicum annuum, 225 nucleotides. RefSeq lists it as uncharacterized. The record is from RefSeq and is a predicted model, not a curated record. NCBI's taxonomy places the organism in Eukaryota, Viridiplantae, Streptophyta, Magnoliopsida, Solanales, Solanaceae. The transcript is spliced from 3 exons.
UAUUUUUUCGUGAAUUAUAUUAAAGAUGUUAAUAUUGUUUUUUGUUAACUUUAAUCAUGAUAUUAUCUCCAAGGAGAAGAUGUGCAAGAAAAACGAAAGGUGGAAAAUGAGGGAGGAGAUGAAAAAGAAAAAAUAGUUGAAAAAGAAACUCCAUCCAAAGAUAUAAUUAAAGAACAAAGGAGACGAUACACAAGAAAAAACAAAGGUGGAAAAUCAGGAGGUAGG